GACGCCCGCUUUCUUCUUUCCUAAUACAUGCAAGUUGAGCGAUGAAGAUUGGUGCUUGCACCAAUUUGAAGAGCAGCGAACGGGUGAGUAACGCGUGGGGAAUCUGCCUUUGAGCGGGGGACAACAUUUGGAAACGAAUGCUAAUACCGCAUAACAACUUUAAACAUAAGUUUUAAGUUUGAAAGAUGCAAUUGCAUCACUCAAAGAUGAUCCCGCGUUGUAUUAGCUAGUUGGUGAGGUAAAGGCUCACCAAGGCGAUGAUACAUAGCCGACCUGAGAGGGUGAUCGGCCACAUUGGGAAUGAGACACGGCCCAAACUCCUACGGGAGGCAGCAGUAGGGAAUCUUCGGCAAUGGACGAAAGUCUGACCGAGCAACGCCGCGUGAGUGAAGAAGGUUUUCGGAUCGUAAAACUCUGUUGGUAGAGAAGAACGUUGGUGAGAGUGGAAAGCUCAUCAAGUGACGGUAACUACACAGAAAGGGACGGCUAACUACGUG
RNAcentral lists this ribosomal RNA (497 nucleotides) under uncultured bacterium. Its description in RNAcentral is "partial 16S ribosomal RNA". It matches the Rfam family "Bacterial small subunit ribosomal RNA", at positions 28 to 507 of the family's 1533-position model. The record is from RNAcentral.